RNAcentral lists this ribosomal RNA (504 nucleotides) under uncultured bacterium. Its description in RNAcentral is "partial 16S ribosomal RNA". It matches the Rfam family "Bacterial small subunit ribosomal RNA", at positions 29 to 507 of the family's 1533-position model. The record is from RNAcentral.
ACGAACGCUGGCGGCGUGCCUAAUACAUGCAAGUAGAACGCACAGUUUAUACCGUAGCUUGCUACACCAUAACCUGUGAGUUGCGAACGGGUGAGUAACGCGUAGGUAACCUGCCUGGUAGCGGGGGAUAACUAUUGGAAACGAUAGCUAAUACCGCAUAAUAUUGAUUAUUGCAUGAUAAUUGAUUGAAAGAUGCUAUUGCAUCACUACCAGAUGGACCUGCGUUGUAUUAGCUAGUAGGUGAGGUAACGGCUCACCUAGGCGACGAUACAUAGCCGACCUGAGAGGGUGAUCGGCCACACUGGGACUGAGACACGGCCCAGACUCCUACGGGAGGCAGCAGUAGGGAAUCUUCGGCAAUGGACGAAAGUCUGACCGAGCAACGCCGCGUGAGUGAAGAAGGUUUUCGGAUCGUAAAGCUCUGUUGUAAGAGAAGAACGGGUGUGAGAGUGGAAAGUUCACACUGUGACGGUAUCUUACCAGAAAGGGACGGCUAACUACGUG